GAUUUCUGGUAUGGCGCACUUGGCCCGCUUCGGCUACGAGGUAGAGUGCCGGUGUGCGCCUGCCAUCCUUCUAGGGUACGACCUCUCCCUUAACUGGGUUGAAGCCGGAACCUAGAUCAUUUACUUUGAAAAAAUUAGAGUGUUUAAAGCAGGCUUACGCUAUGAAUACAUUAGCAUGGAAUAAUAAUUUAGGACUUUGGUCUUAUUUUGUUGGUUUCUAGGACUAAAGUAAUGAUUGAUAGGGAUAGUUGGGGGUGCUAGUAUUCAGCGGCCAGAGGUGAAAUUCUUGGAUUCGCUGAAGACUAACUUAUGCGAAAGCAUU
RNAcentral lists this ribosomal RNA (322 nucleotides) under uncultured Cercomonas. RNAcentral describes it as "SSU rRNA". The stretch from base 105 to 322 matches the Rfam family "Eukaryotic small subunit ribosomal RNA", at positions 736 to 955 of the family's 1831-position model. The record is from RNAcentral. Lineage: Eukaryota; Cercozoa; Cercomonadida; Cercomonadidae.